CCUACGGGUGGCAGCAGUCGAGAAUCAUUCACAAUGGGGGAAACCCUGAUGGUGCGACGCCGCGUGGGGGAAUGAAGGUCUUCGGAUUGUAAACCCCUGUCAUGUGGGAGCAAAUUAAAAAGAUAGUACCCCAAGAGGAAGAGACUGCUAACUCUGUGCCAGCAGCCGCGGUAAUACAGAGGUCUCAAGCGUUGUUCGGAAUCACUGGGCGUAAAGCGUGCGUAGGCUGUUUCGUAAGUCGUGUGUGAAAGGCGCGGGCUCAACCCGCGGACGGCACAUGAUACUGCGAGACUAGAGUAAUGGAGGGGGAACCGGAAUUCCCGGUGUAGCAGUGAAAUGCGUAGAGAUCGGGAGGAACACUCGUGGCGAAGGCGGGUUCCUGGACAUUAACUGACGCUGAGGCACGAAGGCCAGGGGAGCGAAAGGGAUUAGAUACCCGAGUAGUC
Molecule: ribosomal RNA, 446 nt
Filed under: uncultured bacterium
Lineage: Bacteria
Description: partial 16S ribosomal RNA
Rfam family: Bacterial small subunit ribosomal RNA
Source: RNAcentral